RNAcentral lists this ribosomal RNA (1112 nucleotides) under Staphylococcus sp. Its description in RNAcentral is "bacterial SSU rRNA". It matches the Rfam family "Bacterial small subunit ribosomal RNA", at positions 59 to 1154 of the family's 1533-position model. The record is from RNAcentral. Lineage: Bacteria; Bacillati; Bacillota; Bacilli; Caryophanales; Staphylococcaceae.
AAGUCGAGCGAACAGACGAGGAGCUUGCUCCUCUGACGUUAGCGGCGGACGGGUGAGUAACACGUGGAUAACCUACCUAUAAGACUGGGAUAACUUCGGGAAACCGGAGCUAAUACCGGAUAAUAUAUUGAACCGCAUGGUUCAAUAGUGAAAGACGGUUUUGCUGUCACUUAUAGAUGGAUCCGCGCCGCAUUAGCUAGUUGGUAAGGUAACGGCUUACCAAGGCAACGAUGCGUAGCCGACCUGAGAGGGUGAUCGGCCACACUGGAACUGAGACACGGUCCAGACUCCUACGGGAGGCAGCAGUAGGGAAUCUUCCGCAAUGGGCGAAAGCCUGACGGAGCAACGCCGCGUGAGUGAUGAAGGUCUUCGGAUCGUAAAACUCUGUUAUUAGGGAAGAACAAAUGUGUAAGUAACUAUGCACGUCUUGACGGUACCUAAUCAGAAAGCCACGGCUAACUACGUGCCAGCAGCCGCGGUAAUACGUAGGUGGCAAGCGUUAUCCGGAAUUAUUGGGCGUAAAGCGCGCGUAGGCGGUUUUUUAAGUCUGAUGUGAAAGCCCACGGCUCAACCGUGGAGGGUCAUUGGAAACUGGAAAACUUGAGUGCAGAAGAGGAAAGUGGAAUUCCAUGUGUAGCGGUGAAAUGCGCAGAGAUAUGGAGGAACACCAGUGGCGAAGGCGACUUUCUGGUCUGUAACUGACGCUGAUGUGCGAAAGCGUGGGGAUCAAACAGGAUUAGAUACCCUGGUAGUCCACGCCGUAACGAUGAGUGCUAAGUGUUAGGGGGUUUCCGCCCCUUAGUGCUGCAGCUAACGCAUUAAGCACUCCGCCUGGGGAGUACGACCGCAAGGUUGAAACUCAAAGGAAUUGACGGGACCCGCACAAGCGGUGGAGCAUGUGGUUUAAUUCGAAGCAACGCGAAGAACCUUACCAAAUCUUGACAUCCUCUGACCCCUCUAGAGAUAGAGUUUUCCCCUUCGGGGGACAGAGUGACAGGUGGUGCAUGGUUGUCGUCAGCUCGUGUCGUGAGAUGUUGGGUUAAGUCCCGCAACGAGCGCAACCCUUAAGCUUAGUUGCCAUCAUUAAGUUGGGCACUCUAAGUUGACUGCCG